CUGUUGGCGACCGGCGCACGGGUGAGUAACACGUAUCCAACCUGCCCUUUACUCGGGGAUAGCCUUUCGAAAGAAAGAUUAAUACCCGAUAGCAUAAUGAUUCCGCAUGGUUUCAUUAUUAAAGGAUUCCGGUAAAGGAUGGGGAUGCGUUCCAUUAGGUUGUUGGUGAGGCAACGGCUCACCAAGCCUUCGAUGGAUAGGGGUUCUGAGAGGAAGGUCCCCCACAUUGGAACUGAGACACGGUCCAA
This 248-nucleotide ribosomal RNA is filed under the name uncultured bacterium. RNAcentral's name for it is "partial 16S ribosomal RNA". It matches the Rfam family "Bacterial small subunit ribosomal RNA", at positions 85 to 334 of the family's 1533-position model. The record is from RNAcentral.